GAAUGGGGAGUGAUACUAGCCCUGGCGAGUCAUUGUAGCAAUACAAGGCAGACGGCUCAGUAACGCGUAGUCAACCUAACCUAUGGACGGGAAUAACCUCGGGAAACUGAGAAUAAUGCCCGAUAGAACAUUAUGCCUGGAACGGUUUAUGUUUCAAAUGAUUUAUCGCCAUAGGAUGGGACUGCGGCCUAUCAGUUUGUUGGUGAGGUAAUGGCCCACCAAGACUAUUACAGGUACGGGCUCUGAGAGGAGUAGCCCGGAGAUGGGUACUGAGACACGGACCCAGGCCCUAUGGGGCGCAGCAGGCGAGAAAACUUUGCAAUGUGCGAAAGCACGACAAGGUUAAUCCGAGUGGUUUCUGCUAAAGAAACCUUUUGCUAGUCCUAGAAACACUAGUGAAUAAGGGGUGGGCAAGUUCUGGUGUCAGCCGCCGCGGUAAAACCAGCACCUCAAGUGGUCAGGAUGAUUAUUGGGCCUAAAGCAUCCGUAGCUCGUUUUGUAAGUUUUCGGUUAAAUCCAUACGCUCAACGUAUGGGCUGCCGGGAAUACUGCAUGACUAGGAAGUGGGAGAGGUAGACGGUACUCGAUAGGAAGGGGUAAAAUCCUUUGAUCUAUUGAUGACCACCUGUGGCGAAGGCGGUCUACCAGAACACGUUCGACGGUGAGGGAUGAAAGCUGGGGGAGCAAACCGGAUUAGAUACCCGGGUAGUCCCAGCUGUAAACUAUGCAAACUCAGUGAUGCAUUGGCUUGUGGCCAAUGCAGUGCUGCAGGGAAGCCGUUAAGUUUGCCGCCUGGGAAGUACGUACGCAAGUAUGAAACUUAAAGGAAUUGGCGGGGGAGCACCACAAGGGGUGAAGCCUGCGGUUCAAUUGGAGUCAACGCCGGA
Molecule: ribosomal RNA, 887 nt
Filed under: uncultured archaeon
Lineage: Archaea
Description: bacterial SSU rRNA
Rfam family: Archaeal small subunit ribosomal RNA
Source: RNAcentral